RNAcentral lists this ribosomal RNA (929 nucleotides) under Arthrobacter sp. RNAcentral's name for it is "bacterial SSU rRNA". It matches the Rfam family "Bacterial small subunit ribosomal RNA", at positions 565 to 1490 of the family's 1533-position model. The record is from RNAcentral. Lineage: Bacteria; Bacillati; Actinomycetota; Actinomycetes; Micrococcales; Micrococcaceae.
GAGCUCGUAGGCGGUUUGUCGCGUCUGCUGUGAAAGACCGGGGCUCAACUCCGGUUCUGCAGUGGGUACGGGCAGACUAGAGUGCAGUAGGGGAGACUGGAAUUCCUGGUGUAGCGGUGAAAUGCGCAGAUAUCAGGAGGAACACCGAUGGCGAAGGCAGGUCUCUGGGCUGUAACUGACGCUGAGGAGCGAAAGCAUGGGGAGCGAACAGGAUUAGAUACCCUGGUAGUCCAUGCCGUAAACGUUGGGCACUAGGUGUGGGGGACAUUCCACGUUUUCCGCGCCGUAGCUAACGCAUUAAGUGCCCCGCCUGGGGAGUACGGCCGCAAGGCUAAAACUCAAAGGAAUUGACGGGGGCCCGCACAAGCGGCGGAGCAUGCGGAUUAAUUCGAUGCAACGCGAAGAACCUUACCAAGGCUUGACAUGAACCGGAAAGACCUGGAAACAGGUGCCCCGCUUGCGGUCGGUUUACAGGUGGUGCAUGGUUGUCGUCAGCUCGUGUCGUGAGAUGUUGGGUUAAGUCCCGCAACGAGCGCAACCCUCGUUCUAUGUUGCCAGCGCGUGAUGGCGGGGACUCAUAGGAGACUGCCGGGGUCAACUCGGAGGAAGGUGGGGACGACGUCAAAUCAUCAUGCCCCUUAUGUCUUGGGCUUCACGCAUGCUACAAUGGCCGGUACAAAGGGUUGCGAUACUGUGAGGUGGAGCUAAUCCCAAAAAGCCGGUCUCAGUUCGGAUUGGGGUCUGCAACUCGACCCCAUGAAGUCGGAGUCGCUAGUAAUCGCAGAUCAGCAACGCUGCGGUGAAUACGUUCCCGGGCCUUGUACACACCGCCCGUCAAGUCACGAAAGUUGGUAACACCCGAAGCCGGUGGCCUAACCCUUGUGGGGGGAGCCGUCGAAGGUGGGACCGGCGAUUGGGACGAAGUCGUA